GCCGAGCUGAGUAACGUAAGCUUGUGACCUGAGUGGGGGCAUCAAGGUGAUUGAACAAGGCUUGGACUUGCUAAAGCUGGUCUAGAGGUUGCAACUUGCUGGCUUGCCCACUCCAAGUCUGGAGCUGAGCCAUGGGGUCUUUGCGAAGGCAAGGGCUUCCUGGUUCCUAGGCAGGAGGGCACUGCGUCAGGCUGGUUUCACAGAGCAGCGACAACCUCCGAUUCUUGACAGUGGAGGGAUAACAUAAUACAAACUUCCUCUUGAACAAUCAUUUUUUUUGUUAAGAUGUCCAGCGUCAUAAAUCUCUGUUUUA
Molecule: non-coding RNA, 313 nt
Organism: Vigna angularis (adzuki bean)
Lineage: Eukaryota; Viridiplantae; Streptophyta; Magnoliopsida; Fabales; Fabaceae
Source: Rfam